Rhodamnia argentea is the source of this 282-nucleotide long non-coding RNA. RefSeq lists it as uncharacterized. The record is from RefSeq and is a predicted model, not a curated record. The transcript has 3 exons. Lineage: Eukaryota; Viridiplantae; Streptophyta; Magnoliopsida; Myrtales; Myrtaceae.
GUUGGUUCAACUUGAUAUCGAGCUUCCGAUCAGCAUCCGAUGCGACACCUGCAGGAAUCGCAUUUGCGAGGGAAGCAACCUCAAAUCCUGGAGGGAGCCAGUCGUCGGCGAGUCGUGCGGGGGGAUCAGGAUAUUUAGGUUUUACUUCGAUUGCAGCAAGUGCUCUGCUAAGAUCUCGCUCAAAGACUACCCGAAUGUUCCCCAUUUGGUGGUGGAGUCGGGGGCGACGAGGAUAAGGGAGGAGGAGGUUCAAGAGAUUGGCGAUCCCAUCCAGAUUGAUGA